AGGGUUUGAUCAUGGCUCAGGAUGAACGCUGGCGGCGUGCUUAACACAUGCAAGUCGAACGAUGAAGCCCAGCUUGCUGGGCGGAUUAGUGGCGAACGGGUGAGUAACACGUGAGUAACCUGCCCUUGACUCUGGGAUAAGCCCGGGAAACUGGGUCUAAUACCGGAUAGGAGCGCCUGUCGCAUGACGGGUGCUGGAAAGAUUUUUCGGUCAUGGAUGGACUCGCGGCCUAUCAGCUUGUUGGUGAGGUAAUGGCUCACCAAGGCGACGACGGGUAGCCGGCCUGAGAGGGUGACCGGCCACACUGGGACUGAGACACGGCCCAGACUCCUACGGGAGGCAGCAGUGGGGAAUCUUAGACAAUGGGCGAAAGCCUGAUCUAGCGAUGCCGCGUGAGUGAUGAAGGUCUUAGGAUCGUAAAGCUCUUUCGCCAGGGAUGAUAAUGACAGUACCUGGUAAAGAAACCCCGGCUAACUCCGUGCCAGCCGCCGCGGUAAUAC
RNAcentral lists this ribosomal RNA (500 nucleotides) under uncultured bacterium. Its description in RNAcentral is "bacterial SSU rRNA". It matches the Rfam family "Bacterial small subunit ribosomal RNA", at positions 8 to 526 of the family's 1533-position model. The record is from RNAcentral.